AACGAGGCUCUGUGGUCCAGAACUCCUGCUGCCCCUCCCAGUGCCCUCCCAGUUCACUCCCAAUAUCACUCCCAGUCCUUCCCAGUCCCUCCCAGUCCCUCCCAGUUCCCUCCCAGUCCCUCCCAGUCCCUCCCAGUCCCCUCCCAGUGCUCCCAGUCCCCUCAAAGUUACCUCCCAGUCCUUCCCAGUCACUCCCAGUUCACCCCCAGUAUCAGUCCCAGUUCCCUUCCAGUGUCUCCCAGUGCUCCCAGUAUCACUUCCCAGUCCAUCCCAGUGUCCUCCCACUUCAUCCCAGUUCCCUCCCAGUCCCUCCCAAUCCCCUCCCAGUCCCUCCCAGUUCACCCCCAGUGCUCCCAGUAUCACUCCCCAGUCCUCCCAACUCCCCUCCCAGUCCCUUCCCAGUCCUCCCAGUCCCCCUCCCAGUCCCUUCCCAAUUCCCGCUCCCCAGUCCCUCCCAAUCCCUCCCAUACCCUCCAAACCCCUCCCAGUCCUCCCAGUCCCUCCCAGUCCUCCCCCAAUCCCCUCCAGCCCCCUCCAGUCUCCCCCAAUCCCCUCCCAGUUCCUCCCAGUUCACCCCCAGUGCUCCCAGUAUCACUUCCCAGUUCGUCCCAGUGUCCUGUCACUUCAUCCCAGUCCCUCCCAAUCCCCUCCCAGUUCAUCCCAGUCCCCUCAAAGUUACCUCCCAGUCCCUCCCAGUCCCCCCCAGUCCCUCCCAGUCCCUCCCAGUCCCCUCCCAAUCCCCUCCCAGUCCCUCCCAAUCCCUUCCCAGUCCCUCCCAGUAUCACCCCCACCGGUCGUUACCAAACAUCGCCUUUAUUUCCUGUGCGGGGGGGCCCCAAAAUCCGAGGGGGGGAUCCCCAAAAACCUCCCAGAUUUUUUUGGGGGGGGGUCCCCAAUUUUUUUGGGGGGUGUUUUUGGGGCUUCCUCAAUUUUUGGGGGGGUCCCCCAAUUUUUUUGGGGGGUUCCCCUCGAUUUUGGGGUCACAAAAGUGCUUUUUUGGGGGUUUUCACCCCAAUUUUGGGGGGUCCUGGAGGGUCCCAAAUUUUUGGGGGGUCCCAAAUUUUGGGGUGUCCCCAAUUUAGGGGAUCCCCAAAUUUUUUGGGGGGGUUUCCCCUCGAUUUUGGGGUCUCAAAGGUGCUUUUUUGGGGGUUUUCACCCUAAUUUUGGGGGUCCUGGAAGGUCCCAAAUUUUUGGGGGCUCCCCAAAUUUUUUGGGGGGGUUUUCACCCCAAAUUUUUGGGGGGGUCCCCAAAUUUUUUUGGGGGGUUCCCCCUCGAUUUUGGGGUCACGAAGGUGCUUUUUGGGGAGGUUUUCACCCCAAUUUUGGGGGUUUUUCACCCCA
This 1341-nucleotide long non-coding RNA is filed under the name Manacus vitellinus (golden-collared manakin). Its description in RNAcentral is "lncRNA (ENSMVIG00005005819.1)". The record is from RNAcentral. Lineage: Eukaryota; Metazoa; Chordata; Aves; Passeriformes; Pipridae.